GACAGAGUAGCGUAGUAGUUUGAGUACUGGACUACGACUCUGGAGACUAGGGUUCAAAUCUCCACUUGGCCA
Molecule: non-coding RNA, 72 nt
Organism: Phrynosoma platyrhinos (Desert horned lizard)
Lineage: Eukaryota; Metazoa; Chordata; Lepidosauria; Squamata; Phrynosomatidae
Source: the annotation of a GenBank genome assembly